Molecule: ribosomal RNA, 164 nt
Filed under: uncultured bacterium
Lineage: Bacteria
Description: partial 16S ribosomal RNA
Rfam family: Bacterial small subunit ribosomal RNA
Source: RNAcentral
UAGGGAAUCUUCCACAAUGGACGAAAGUCUGAUGGAGCAACGCCGCGUGAGUGAAGAAGGGUUUCGGCUCGUAAAACUCUGUUGUUAAAGAAGAACAUAUCUGAGAAUAACUGUUCAGGUAUUGACGGUAUUUAACCAGAAAGCCACGGCUAACUACGCGCCAG